AGAUCCAUGUGAGAAGUAUAAUCCACAUACAAGACACCCUUGGAUGCAGCAGCAAGAAGAAGCCUUCAUGUGCCAGCGCAGUCUCUUAAGAGUGAAUGGAGGCUUGAAGUAUUCAGUUGAGAACAAAGAAUAACUUACACAGGAUCAAGUUCUAUUCAUGAAGAUGGGUGAGCUUCUAAGCAUCAGGACAUCCAGCUUGAUCCUAUGCAUGUUUUCUUAGAAGUACUUUCACUCAAGUCUAAAGAAUCACAGAGGUCCAUGGCGAUAGCAAUCGAUGACAAAUGAUCGAGAAAUGUGCGAUGAAAGGCAACAAAUGAAACUUCACACUUAAGCAAGUUUAACCUCAUGCAACCACAUCUAUGCAGUAUGCUAAUACCUUUUCCAGUAGCUAUUGAUUUUGCCUCUAAAUGACAACUUCCUCUGUGACAACUUUGCAUUUGAACUGCUGACCUAGUAGAUACACUGACUGCUGAAUCAAAGCAAUUCAGAAAGUGAUGCAAUCUAUUAUCAAUACAUUUAGAUAGGUUACUGGUGUAAAGGCAACUGAUAAUAGUUAACUUCCUCUAAUACUUUCUCGGUGUAAAACAAUAAUAGUGUGCUCUGAAAGCACAACAAGUCAAUUGGCACAGUAAUUAAAGCAUGUAUCUUUAUUCAUAGCAUUUAUGGUGGCUUAAGGCGUGCUGAAAUUAGCACAGGACUGAGAAGUAUAUCAGAAGGACAGAGUUAUGAUGCAGGAAGAGCAAUAUUGCAGCUGCUUGA
Hemicordylus capensis (graceful crag lizard) is the source of this 759-nucleotide long non-coding RNA. RefSeq lists it as uncharacterized. NCBI's taxonomy places the organism in Eukaryota, Metazoa, Chordata, Lepidosauria, Squamata, Cordylidae. The record is from RefSeq and is a predicted model, not a curated record. The transcript has 4 exons.